UACAGAGGUCCCGAGCGUUGUUCGGAUUCACUGGGCGUAAAGGGUGCGUAGGUGGUGGGGUAAGUCGGAUGUGAAAUCUCCGAGCUCAACUCGGAAAUGGCAUUGGAAACUACCCUGCUAGAGGGUCGGAGGGGGGACUGGAAUACUUGGUGUAGCAGUGAAAUGCGUAGAUAUCAAGUGGAACACCAGUGGCGAAGGCGAGUCCCUGGACGACUCCUGACACUGAGGCACGAAAGCUAGGGGAGCAAACAGG
This 253-nucleotide ribosomal RNA is filed under the name uncultured bacterium. Its description in RNAcentral is "partial 16S ribosomal RNA". It matches the Rfam family "Bacterial small subunit ribosomal RNA", at positions 524 to 776 of the family's 1533-position model. The record is from RNAcentral.